This 211-nucleotide unclassified non-coding RNA is filed under the name plant metagenome. RNAcentral describes it as "partial contains small subunit ribosomal RNA, internal transcribed spacer 1, and 5.8S ribosomal RNA". The record is from RNAcentral.
UUUCCGUAGGUGAACCUGCGGAAGGAUCAUUCAUAAUAAAGUGUUUUAUGGCACUUUUUAAAAAUCCAUAUCCACCUUGUGUGCUAUGUUAGAUCUCGUCAAUCUUGGCGAGAUUUUUAUACAUCAACUCAUUCUUUAACUAAUUUGUCUGAAAAAUAUUAUGAAUACUUAAUUCAAAAUACAACUUUCAACAACGGAUCUCUUGGCUCUC